This 75-nucleotide transfer RNA is filed under the name Cordylochernes scorpioides. Its description in RNAcentral is "tRNA-Thr". It matches the Rfam family "tRNA". Rfam says of the family: Transfer RNA (tRNA) molecules are approximately 80 nucleotides in length. The record is from RNAcentral. Lineage: Eukaryota; Metazoa; Arthropoda; Arachnida; Pseudoscorpiones; Chernetidae.
GUCCAGGGUAGCCUAGUGGACAUGGCAUCUGCCCGGUAAGCGGAACACUGUCGGUUCGAUUCCCAUUUCUGGGCA